Molecule: ribosomal RNA, 996 nt
Filed under: Triticum aestivum (bread wheat)
Lineage: Eukaryota; Viridiplantae; Streptophyta; Magnoliopsida; Poales; Poaceae
Description: partial small subunit ribosomal RNA
Source: RNAcentral
AUGGUUAUUGCUGCCCAAAAAAACUGUCUCAUCAAAGGAUUGGCCUCGGGGCUAAUCGAGGGAGGGGUGGGUAUCCUCCAAUACGCUGAUGACACCGUCCUGUGCUUUGAACAUGACACUGACAGGGCUGUUAAUGUUAAGGUGUUGCUAUAUCUCUUCGAGCUCAUGUCUUGAUUGAAAAUCAAUUAUGAUAAGAGUGAAGUGUUUGUGGUGGGAGGGGAUAACGAAACUGACAUAAUUUAGGCAGAGAUAUUUGGUUGCCGUGUGGGCACCUUACCCAUGAGGUACUUGGUAGUGCCAGUAACCUAUUCCACUCUUAAGAAUAUCGAGCUAGAUUUCUUGAUGCUAAAAUGGUCAAAAAAACUUGAUGCAUGGGUGGCAUAUGCAGCCUCCUCGGGUGCUAGACUCACUUUGCUAGAUUCUAGCUUGGAUGGUAUUCCUUCCGACCUGAUGUCCAUGUUUCUCUUCAACAAAACCUUCAUUGAAAAAAUUAAUAAGCAUCGCAGACGCUUCUUUUGGAGGAGGAAGAAUAAGAAGCGUGCUUAUCACAUGGUUAGAUGGGAUAGGAUCUGCCGAUCAAAAAGAAUUGGUGGCUUGGGAAUAAAAGAUCUCCACAAGCAAAACAUUAGCCUCCUUGUGAAAUGGUGGUGGAAGUUGGAAACUUGCGAUGGGCUAUGGCAAUGCAUUAUCCGAGCUAAAUAUUUCAGGAACAAAACCGUUGCGAAUAUCUGCAGCCGCUUUUCUGAUUCCCCUUGCUGGAAAUCCAUUAUGAAGGUCAAAGAUACUUAUAUGGCUGGGAGGAAAAUCAUCAUUAACAAAGGAGAUUUAGCUAGGGUUUGGCACCACCCAUGGAUAGAUAACUGCCCAUUACAAGAGCAUUUCUCUGUCUUAUAUGACAUUUGUCAAAAUCAAGACUGCACCAUUGCUUCUUUUGCAGCCAACAACUACGAUCUAGCUUUUAGACGUAGGUUGUUUGGUGCAUUGGAGGAACAAUAG